AAAGGUGGCCUCUGCUCGCAAGCUAUCGCUUCUGGAUGGUCUCGCGUCCGAUUAGCUAGUUGGCGGGGUAAUGGCCCACCAAGGCGACGAUCGGUAGCUGGUCUGAGAGGAUGGUCAGCCACACUGGGACUGAGAUACGGCCCAGACUCCUACGGGAGGCAGCAGUCGAGAGGCUUCGGCAAUGGGGGAAACCCUGACCGAGCGACGCCGCGUGGGGGAUGACGGCCCUUGGGUUGUAAACCCCUUUCGACCGGGAAGAAUGAUCGCGUGAAUACUCCGCGAUUUGACGGUACCGGUAUAAGAAGCUCCGGCUAACUCCGUGCCAGCAGCCGCGGUAAUACGGGGGGAGCGAACGUUGUUCGGAAUCACUGGGCGUAAAGGGCGUGUAGGCGGUUCGGUAAGUGGAAUGUGAAAGCCCCCGGCUUACCCGGGGAACUGCAUCCCAUACUGCUGGACUUGAGUGCGGGAGAGGAUGGAGGAAUUCCUGGUGUAGCGGUGAAAUGCGUAGAUAUCAGGAGGAACACCUGUGGCGAAGGCGUCCAUCUGGCCCGUUACUGACGCUGAGGCGCGAAAGCUAGGGGAGCAAACGGGAUUAGAUACCCCGGUAGUCCUAGCCGUAAACGGUGGGCACUAGGUGUUGGAGGCAUUGACCCCUCCAGUGCCGCAGCUAACGCAUUAAGUGCCCCGCCUGGGGAGUACGACCGCAAGGUUGAAACUCAAAGGAAUUGACGGGGGCUCACACAAGCGGUGG
Molecule: ribosomal RNA, 751 nt
Filed under: uncultured bacterium
Lineage: Bacteria
Description: bacterial SSU rRNA
Rfam family: Bacterial small subunit ribosomal RNA
Source: RNAcentral